AGAGUUUGAUCAUGGCUCAGAGCGAACGCUGGCGGCAGGCCUAACACAUGCAAGUCGAGCGCCCCGCAAGGGGAGCGGCAGACGGGAGAGUAACACGUGGGAACGUGCCCUUUGGUUCGGAACAACCCAGGGAAACUUGGGCUAAUACCGGAUACGUCCGUAAGGAGAAAGAUUUAUCGCCAAAGGAUCGGCCCGCGUCUGAUUAGCUAGUUGGUGAGGUAACGGCUCACCAAGGCGACGAUCAGUAGCUGGUCUGAGAGGAUGAUCAGCCUCACUGGGACUGAGACACGGCCCAGACUCCUACGGGAGGCAGCAGUGGGGAAUAUUGGACAAUGGGCGCAAGCCUGAUCCAGCCAUGCCGCGUGGAUGAUGAAGGCCCUAGGGUUGUAAAGUCCUUUCGGCGGGGAAGAUAAUGACGGUACCCGCAGAAGAAGCCCCGGCUAACUUCGUGCCAGCAGCCGCGGUAAUACGAAGGGGGCUAGCGUUGCUCGGAAUCACUGGGCGUAAAGCGCACGUAGGCGGCUUUUUAAGUCAGGGGUGAAAUCCUGGAGCUCAACUCCAGAACUGCCUUUGAUACUGAGAAGCUUGAGUCCGGGAGAGGUGAGUGGAACUGCGAGUGUAGAGGUGAAAUUCGUAGAUAUUCGCAAGAACACCAGUGGCGAAGGCGGCUCACUGGCCCGGUACUGACGCUGAGGUGCGAAAGCGUGGGGAGCAAACAGGAUUAGAUACCCCUGUAGUCC
RNAcentral lists this ribosomal RNA (740 nucleotides) under uncultured bacterium. RNAcentral describes it as "bacterial SSU rRNA". It matches the Rfam family "Bacterial small subunit ribosomal RNA", at positions 8 to 796 of the family's 1533-position model. The record is from RNAcentral.